This 219-nucleotide unclassified non-coding RNA is filed under the name uncultured Tomentella. RNAcentral's name for it is "sequence contains ITS2". The record is from RNAcentral. Lineage: Eukaryota; Fungi; Basidiomycota; Agaricomycetes; Thelephorales; Thelephoraceae.
ACACCUCAACUCUUCAUGGGUUUCCAUGAUGAGCUUGGACUUUGGGGGUCUUGCUGGCCUGUGGUCAGCUCCUCUCAAAUGAAUCAGCUUUCCAGUGUUUGGCAGCAUCACAGGUGUGAUAACUAUCUACGCUUGUGGUUUUCUGCCAGGUAAUCCUCAGUGAUGGGGAUUCGCUGGGGCUCAUAAACGUCUCUCCUCAGUGAAGACAGCUUUGUGAAU